Carlito syrichta (Philippine tarsier) is the source of this 164-nucleotide small nuclear RNA. Its record names the gene U1. It matches the Rfam family "U1 spliceosomal RNA". From Rfam's summary of the family: U1 is a small nuclear RNA (snRNA) component of the spliceosome (involved in pre-mRNA splicing). Its 5' end forms complementary base pairs with the 5' splice junction, thus defining the 5' donor site of an intron. There are significant differences in sequence and secondary structure between metazoan and yeast U1 snRNAs, the latter being much longer (568 nucleotides as compared to 164 nucleotides in human). Lineage: Eukaryota; Metazoa; Chordata; Mammalia; Primates; Tarsiidae. The record is from Ensembl.
AUACUUACCUAGCAGGGGAAAUACCAUGAUCAUGAAGGUGGUUUUCCCAGGGUGAGGCUUAUCCAUUGCACUCCGGAUGUGCUGACCCCUGCAAUUUCCCCACAUGUGGGAAACUUAACUGCAUACUAUGUGGUAGUGGGGAACUGCGUUCUCGUUCUCCCCUG